GUACGUCUACGAAGGAGUAGUUAGUACACUGGCUCAGGAUAAACGCUGGCGGCGUGCAUAUGCAUGCAAGUCGAACGGGACUCGCAAGAGUCUAGUGGCAAACGGGUGAGUAACACAUAGGUAACCUGUCCACGAGUGGGGAAUAACUCGCCGAAAGGCGGACUAAUACCGCAUACGAUGGCUUCUCACAAGAGAGGUCAUGAAAAGCAGCAAUGCGCUGGUGGAGGGGCCUGUGACCGAUUAGUUUGUUGGUGGGGUAACGGCCUACCAAGACUGUGACCGGUAGCUGGUCUGAGAGGAUGGUCAGCCACAUUGGGACUGAGACACGGCCCAAACUCCUACGGGAGGCAGCAGCAAGGAAUUUUGCGCAAUGGGCGAAAGCCCUGACGCAGCAACGCCGCGUGAAGGAUGAAGGCCUUCGGGUUGUAAACUUCUUUUAUAAGGGAAGAAUGAUGACGGUACCUUAUGAAUAAGCUUCGGCUAACUACGUGCCAGCCGCCGC
RNAcentral lists this ribosomal RNA (502 nucleotides) under uncultured bacterium. RNAcentral's name for it is "bacterial SSU rRNA". It matches the Rfam family "Bacterial small subunit ribosomal RNA", at positions 1 to 518 of the family's 1533-position model. The record is from RNAcentral.